CGUAGGCAGCAAGCGUUGUUCGGAGUUACUGGGCGUAAAGGGUGUGUAGGCGGUUGUUUAAGUUCGGUGUGAAAUCUCCCGGCUCAACUGGGAGGGUGCGCCGAAUACUGAAUGACUUGGAGUGCGGGAGAGGAAAGUGGAAUUCCUGGUGUAGCGGUGAAAUGCGUAGAUAUCAGGAGGAACACCGGUGGUGUAGACGGCUUUCUGGACCGUAACUGACGCUGAGACACGAAAGCGUGGGUAGCAAACAGGAUUAGAUACCCUGGUAGUCCACGCCCUAAACGAUGCACAUUUGGUGUGGGCAGUUCAUUCUGUCCGUGCCGGAGCUAACGCGUUAAAUGUGCCGCCGUGGGGAGUACAGUCGCAAGGCUG
Molecule: ribosomal RNA, 372 nt
Filed under: uncultured organism
Description: bacterial SSU rRNA
Rfam family: Bacterial small subunit ribosomal RNA
Source: RNAcentral